This 440-nucleotide ribosomal RNA is filed under the name uncultured Erwinia sp. Its description in RNAcentral is "bacterial SSU rRNA". It matches the Rfam family "Bacterial small subunit ribosomal RNA", at positions 358 to 790 of the family's 1533-position model. Lineage: Bacteria; Pseudomonadati; Pseudomonadota; Gammaproteobacteria; Enterobacterales; Erwiniaceae. The record is from RNAcentral.
GGAAUAUUGCACAAUGGGCGCAAGCCUGAUGCAGCCAUGCCGCGUGUAUGAAGAAGGCCUUCGGGUUGUAAAGUACUUUCAGUGGGGAGGAAGGCGAUGAGGUUAAUAGCCUCGUCGAUUGACGUUACCCGCAGAAGAAGCACCGGCUAACUCCGUGCCAGCAGCCGCGGUAAUACGGAGGGUGCAAGCGUUAAUCGGAAUUACUGGGCGUAAAGCGCACGCAGGCGGUCUGUCAAGUCGGAUGUGAAAUCCCCGGGCUCAACCUGGGAACUGCAUUCGAAACUGGCAGGCUAGAGUCUUGUAGAGGGGGGUAGAAUUCCAGGUGUAGCGGUGAAAUGCGUAGAGAUCUGGAGGAAUACCGGUGGCGAAGGCGGCCCCCUGGACAAAGACUGACGCUCAGGUGCGAAAGCGUGGGGAGCAAACAGGAUUAGAUACCCCAG